RNAcentral lists this ribosomal RNA (253 nucleotides) under uncultured bacterium. RNAcentral's name for it is "partial 16S ribosomal RNA". It matches the Rfam family "Bacterial small subunit ribosomal RNA", at positions 524 to 776 of the family's 1533-position model. The record is from RNAcentral.
GCCGGCGGGUGCAAGCGUUAUCCGGAAUCACUGGGCGUAAAGCGUCUGUAGGUGGUGAUGCAAGUCACUGGUGCAAAACUCUGGCUCAACCGGAGGAAAGCCAGUGAAACUGCAUGACUAGAGUGUGGGAGAGGUAGAAGGAAUUCCCUGAGUAGCGGUGAAAUGCGUAGAUACAGGGAAGAACACCGGAGGCGAAAGCGUUCUACUGGAACACAACUGACACUGAGAGACGAAAGCUAGGGGAGCGAAUGGG